AUCGAUGAUGAGCUGCUUUUCAUUUAAGCUUUGCCAUUACAUAGGAGCGUCGAGCGUCGAGCGUCAAGCGUCAAAAACGCGUGCGCAACGCCCUUGCGCAUGAUUCAGAACUGGCAGAUUUCAGCAUCUUGACGCUUAUUACAAUGUCUAGUGAUAAAAGUUUAAUAGACGCUAUAAAGGAAUCGGAUUUAACAUGUGGAGUGUGCAUAUCAAAAGUUAAUAAAUACAAGAUUUUUAAUCAUCAAUGCAUGAAAGAUUGGUAUAGUAUCACAAUUAAUGGAGAUACUAAAAUGUUUUAUCCUACUAAUGGUAAGAACUAUAAUUAAUGC
Non-coding RNA from Nylanderia fulva, 329 nucleotides. Lineage: Eukaryota; Metazoa; Arthropoda; Insecta; Hymenoptera; Formicidae. The record is from RefSeq and is a predicted model, not a curated record.